RNAcentral lists this long non-coding RNA (2231 nucleotides) under Dasypus novemcinctus (nine-banded armadillo). RNAcentral describes it as "lncRNA (ENSDNOG00000049995.1)". The record is from RNAcentral. Lineage: Eukaryota; Metazoa; Chordata; Mammalia; Cingulata; Dasypodidae.
GAGACGUUUACGUCCCGCCGGGCCGGGACCCCUGCCCUCACAGCAGGAAGCAGCUCCCGGAGAAGGACCACCAGCCCUCAGCAGCCCUUUAAGAAUAAGGGCGGCAGCUCUGAGGAGAAAGUGAGGCAGUUUAUCAAGGAAACCAGGAAAAGCGAGCCAGAGCAGGGCCGGCAGCACGGCUGAUAGACCGCAUGGCCGGCAGGCAGCAUGGCCACAGACUGCAUGGCCGACAGCAUGGCCGACAGACAGCGUGGCGGGAGACCGCGUGGCCGGCGGGCAGCACGCGUGCACGGCCAUGCUGAGAGCGACCUAAAAGGCAAAUGCAUAAAUUGUGAUGAGAAAUCAGUAGUUUGGGACUCAAUGUAAAAACACGUAGUUUGCAACAAGAGCCCGAUCAGGUGAGCAGGGCACAGGAGCGGCUGUGAACGCUGUGAAGCUGGCGUCCAAGCAGAGGGACGUUAGAGUCAGGCUGUUGGAUUUAAGGCCAUGGUAACCACACGUACUGGAGAAGGCGCGAGCUCAGAGAAACGGACAUUUAAAGCACAGGCGAGGGGACAGAGGCAACGAGGAGCUAACGCAUAAUGAUACAGGGCUUCUGUUUGGGGUGAAGGAAAGUCCUAGUAAUGGAAGGAAGCAACAGUGGUAAACGUGAUUAACCCCACUGAAUGGUGGCUCGGGAGGGGUUGGGAUGCUAAGAUUUUUGUUUAUCUGUAGCAGUUUGACAAUAGUGAUAAAUUACAAAAAAGAAUUAUUGGAUUAUGUUUGUAAACUGGUCUCUUCCUCUGGGCAUAUGAGAUUAUAUUGGAUUUUCUUGAUUACUUAAUCAAAUAAACCUCUUGUGUCAGUAGGGCAUUGAGUCCCCGCCCCUUGGCUGGUAGGCACUUGCAGACAAAAGGCAUGUCAAAGGACAGAGGUGGGGUUUUUGAUGUUGGAGUUUGAUGCUGAAGCCUUAAGCUGGAGCCCCAGGAAGAGAGGAACCCUGAACCCAGAGAGAAGCAAGACCCUGGAAGGGAGGAACCCAGGAAGCCUGAACCCUCGCAGACGUCAGCAGCCCUCUUACUUCAACACAUGAAAUUAGACUUUGGGGAGGUACGAAGUAGCUUAUUUUAUGGCUGGUAUCUGUAAACUCCGACCCCAAAUAAACACCCUUUAUAAAAACCAACCAAUUUCUGGUAUUUUGCAUCAGCACCCCUUUGGCUGAUUAAUACAAUAUCUUUCCACAAUUAAUAGAAUGAUCUAAAGAAAUGAUAAUUAAAUGCAAUACAUGAUACUGGAUAGGAUCUAAGAAUGGAGAAAAGGCUGAAAGGGACAUUAUUGUGAUUUAGAAAAAAUUGGAGUACAGAAUGCAAGCUUUUUAUCAACGUUAAAUUUCUCGAACUUAAUUUACAUGUAAGUGUUCAAGGAGCAUGUGUGCAGGCUGCUCUCAAAUGUUCAAAAGGAGAGAAGGGGAAGGAAAGAGGGAAAGAAAAAAAUAGAAAUGUGGCAAAACAUUAAGACUGAUGGAUCUGGGUAUUGGGAGGGGCUGGGGGUAAUGCUGGAGUUCUCUGUAUAGGGUGUUAUUUUUGUAACUGUCCUGUAACCUUGAAAUUACUUCAAAAUAAGUGAAAAAAUUAAACCUGAAUAUUAAUCUCAUCAAAAUGAAGAACCACUUAUAUAGCAAAGAUGGGAGGUUAGGAAGAGUUUAUAUACAGACAUUGAGGAGGAGAACUGAAAGUCAUGUUCCACUACCAUAAGUGAAGAGCUAAUGCCAAAAACGAAGGCCAAGUAGUAACCCGCACACAUCAUUAGAGAAGAGGUAAGCGUCGAAAGAACUGAAGCCAGCUGCCUCUGGAGUGGGAAAAGGCGGCAGGGACAGGAGUCUUCAAAACAAGCUGUGUUGAAUCAUCUUGACUCUUCAAUUUGUACUCAUCCUUCUACUUAAACCUUGAUUAAACAAUUUUUUUCAUUACAAAAGGCAACAUCUAUGCCAAAGAAAAACAGGUCAGAGAAAUAAGACAAAACAGUAUAAAAAUACAAUAAACAAAAACAGACAAAAACCAGGCCAGGGUGCUUACCAGCACACGCCUCGGCUCUGCGCAGUCCGGGACAGCUGCCCAGAGACCGAGCAAGCGCGCGGCUCUGGCCGCCCCCGGGCCCUCGUGCGUCUCCGUCCAGCUCUAGCUGCCUCCUUUGGACUCGGUGCGCAACCGGCCCCUUUCCACCACAGGCUGAUGGAGGCCAGCCCCGCGGGC